CAGAGUAGGACGUCCCGCGUGAAGUGCUGCCAGAAUGGGGAGUUGUAUGGCAGACGAAGGAUUUUGGAUCCGCGAUGGGAUAUCCGCACCCGCUGC
RNAcentral lists this non-coding RNA (96 nucleotides) under human gut metagenome. RNAcentral describes it as "THF riboswitch". It matches the Rfam family "THF (Tetrahydrofolate) riboswitch aptamer". From Rfam's summary of the family: THF riboswitch presents a pseudoknot that joins P1-P2 and the loop of P3 and two THF binding. The record is from RNAcentral.